GAUUGGUCAGAAUUCCUUCGGGUGUUAGUUGGAUUGGUCAGAAUUUGUUCAGGUAUUGGUGGGAUUGGUCAGUAUUCCAUCAGGAAUGCGUGGGAUUGGUCAGAAUUCCUUCGGGUGUUAGUUGGAUUGGACAGAAUUUGUUCAGGUAUUGGUGGGAUUGGUCAGUAUUCCAUCAGGACUGGGUGAGAUUGGUCAGAAUUCCUUUGGGUGUUAGUUGGAUUGGUCAGAAUUUGUUCAGGUAUUGGUGGGAUUGGUCAGUAUUCCAUCAGGAAUGCGUGGGAUUGGUCAGAAUUCCUUCAGAACUGGGUGGGAUUGGUCAGAAUUCCUUCAGAACUGGGUGGGAUUGGUCAGAAUUCCUUCAGAACUGGAUAGGACUGGGCAGAAUUCCUUCAGGUGUG
This is a long non-coding RNA of Ictalurus punctatus (channel catfish), 398 nucleotides long. Lineage: Eukaryota; Metazoa; Chordata; Actinopteri; Siluriformes; Ictaluridae. The record is from Ensembl.